This is a long non-coding RNA of Etheostoma spectabile (orangethroat darter), 190 nucleotides long. RefSeq lists it as uncharacterized. The record is from RefSeq and is a predicted model, not a curated record. The transcript has 3 exons. Lineage: Eukaryota; Metazoa; Chordata; Actinopteri; Perciformes; Percidae.
ACUACUAGCCUGAAGCAGUAGGGGGCCCGACCGUAUGGUAAGGACUCUAGCCCGUCAGAAGCAGAUAUAGGGCGUACCCUGACAGUACCCAGGGAAGGACUACUACCAGUCAGAAGCAGAGUAUGGGGGCCCUGAAAGUACCUAGGAAAGGACACUACCGUCAGAAGCAGAUAUAAGGGCGUGCCAGCUA